GAUGAACGCUGGCGGCGUGCUUAACACAUGCAAGUCGAACGGUGAAGGCGGAGCUUGCUCUGCUGGAUCAGUGGCGAACGGGUGAGUAACACGUGAGCAAUCUGCCCCUGACUCUGGGAUAAGCGCUGGAAACGGCGUCUAAUACUGGAUACGAGCUGCGAAGGCAUCUUCAGCAGCUGGAAAGAAUUUCGGUCAGGGAUGAGCUCGCGGCCUAUCAGCUUGUUGGUGAGGUAAUGGCUCACCAAGGCGUCGACGGGUAGCCGGCCUGAGAGGGUGACUGGCCACACUGGGACUGAGACACGGCACAGACUCCUACGGGAGGCAGCAGUGGGGAAUAUUGCACAAUGGGCGAAAGCCUGAUGCAGCAACGCCGCGUGAGGGACGACGGCCCUCGGGUUGUAAACCUCUUUUAGCAGGGAAGAAGCGAAAGUGACGGUACCUGCAGAAAAAGCGCCGGCUAACUACGUG
Molecule: ribosomal RNA, 468 nt
Filed under: uncultured bacterium
Lineage: Bacteria
Description: partial 16S ribosomal RNA
Rfam family: Bacterial small subunit ribosomal RNA
Source: RNAcentral